AAAUUGGUAUCCCAUAUUGGAGCCAAUGGGGCGAUGCCAGUUGAGAUUGUGCCUUUCUGUUGGAAAUUCACGCAAGAAAGGCUUCAACAGUUGUUCGACUACGCGAGUUUCAUGGCCAAGUUGAGGACUAAUGGCGGUGGAAAUGGUGAGCCUUUUGUUACUGAUAAUGGGAACUAUAUUGUGGACUUAUAUUUUAAGAAGGAUAUUGGUGAUUUAAGGGCUGCUAGCGAUGCUAUUCUGAGGCUAGCUGGGGUUGUGGAACAUGGAAUGUUUCUUGGUAUGGCAACUACUGUAAUUGUUGCAGGUGAGCUUGGGGUCACUAUCAAGAACAAGUAGAUUGACAUGGGUAUUUAACAAUUACACAAUUUUUUAUGGGUUACCAGUCAAAUUGGGAAAAUUUUAACUGGUUGGUAUUGUAACAGUAUUGACAUCAAUUAUGAGGAGAUAUUCUCCAUUAGUUUUGGUCAGAAAAUUUAGCAGGGAAGAUUAGGAGCUUUUAGGAUUCUGCUAGCGGCUGAAUAAUCAUCUUAUUGUGUAUCAGCUGCCAUCUUCUCUUCUUUUCAAAAUAAAAACNUUCUUCUUAAUUGGGUUUAUCUGUUUUAUUUGAUACAUUUUGGCAAGUUUGAAUUGACUGG
RNAcentral lists this unclassified non-coding RNA (635 nucleotides) under Hevea brasiliensis (rubber tree). Lineage: Eukaryota; Viridiplantae; Streptophyta; Magnoliopsida; Malpighiales; Euphorbiaceae. The record is from RNAcentral.